RNAcentral lists this ribosomal RNA (493 nucleotides) under uncultured bacterium. RNAcentral describes it as "bacterial SSU rRNA". It matches the Rfam family "Bacterial small subunit ribosomal RNA", at positions 26 to 507 of the family's 1533-position model. The record is from RNAcentral.
AGAACGAACGCUGGCGGCAGGCCUCAUACAUGCAAGUCGAGCGGACGUAUUCUUUCGGGAGUACGUUAGCGGCGAACGGGUGAGUAACAGGUGGAUAACCUGCCUUCUGGUGGGGGAUAACGGCUGGAAACGGCCGCUAAUACCGCAUGUGGUUGCCGGUCCGCGGACCGGUAAAGAAAGGCGCCGCAAGGCGUCGCCAGAAGAUGGGUCCGCCCCCCAUUAGCUAGUUGGCGGGAUAACAGCCCACCAAGGCAACGAUGGGUAGCCGGACUGAGAGGUUGGCCGGCCACACUGGAACUGAGACACGGUCCAGACACCUACGGGUGGCAGCAGUAGGGAAUAUUGGACAAUGGGCGAAAGCCUGAUCCAGCCAUGCCGCGUGAACGACGAAGGCCUUCGGGUUGUAAAGUUCUUUUCUGAGGGAAGAAAAGCCUGAACAGGAAAUGGUUUGGGUUUGACGGUACCUCAGGAAUAAGGGACGGCUAACUCCGUG